UCAAAAUAUGGAAACAUAAUAUGGUAAUAGUAAGAAAAGUAAGAUAAAAAACCUUGGCCCUCGCACAUGUCUGUAAAAAUCUCAACACUCAGGAUGCAAAUGUAGAAAGAUCUCUGUGAGUUCCAGGAUAGAUAGGAACACAAAGACCCUGUGUUGAAAUGAGGAUGAAAUAAAAAUUUAUUCCAACUCACUGUAAUUUUGGUGGUUGGUUAUUUUUCCCAGCUUUAAAAAUGAAAGCAUUGGAAAAACUUGUUUGUUCAAGUCUUCCUACUUUGUGUUUUUCAAUCUGUCUCUCUGUCUGUCUGUCUGGUUCUCAUUAUCUGUCCUGGGCUGGCCUUUCUGCUACAGCUCAACUUGCUUCCCAAGUGCUAGAGUACUAGUUUUACAAGGUGUGUAUCUCUAUAGCUGGUAUAGCCGUUUUCUUGAUGGUGUGGGUGAGUAUGCUGGUUUGUAGAGGAGGCUAAGGAAUUCUUAAGUUGCCCAGACUCGUUUCAGACUCCUAGUCCUUUCAUCUCAGCAUUCAAAGUAGGUGGGAUUUUGUACCCACACUACCAUGCCUAUCCUUGUAUUCUUCCUAGCUUGGGAGAUGGAAGCUUGAGCAUUAGGAGUUCAGAAUCGCCCUUGGUUACACAACCAGUUCAAGGCCAACCUAAGUUACAUAAGACCUUACGUCCAAAAAUCAAAAAUAAUUAAACUUCAUCCUAUAAAUUAUUAAAUCCUACCAUCAUUACAGCAAGGAUUAUGUUAUGUGUAAAAUAGUUAUAUAUCUUUUACCCCAACUAUAUCCUUAGAUUUUAGAAAUAGCUUCAUUUGACUAUAGAAUACAAGAAAUAAAUGUGAUACCUUUAUCUGUCAAAUUUAUUUCGUUUAAUAAGUGCUGUCUAAAUUUUGGACUUUGACAUUUUAUGCUUAAAAUAUUCAAUACGGGCAACAGCCAAAUAUGCUAGUAAUUCCCCUGUUUCAUAACUGUUUUAAUAAACAUCCUAAAGGCCAGAUGUGUUAUCUGUAAGCCUGUCAUUCACUUUCUGAUGCUUGCUGUCCUUGGCAACAGGGCUGGGGUUUUUCUUUUGUUCUUUGGGUUCUGUUUUGCUUUGUUUUAUUUUUUGUUUUGUUUGUUAGUUUGUUUGUGACUGAAUACAGGGAAAUUGUUCAGUAUCCCAAACAUUUCAAUAGUAAACUGGUAAUCCAUUCCCAAUUUCAUGUCACUCCCUUUAACAGAAAGCAUUGUUUAACUAUUAUAAUAUUAGUGUAUUAGAUUUUAUGAAUCUUGAAGAUUAUAUUUAUUGAAUGCCUCUCAUUAGAGAUCAGGAAGUUUUUUGUGUGUGCUGCAUCUUGAUGACAAAGUUUGUGCCUUUAUGGAGAGAUCCUAGUUGUCUAACAGUUAGAAGUACAUAAGCUAAAUCUGGAGCCUUCAGGAGAACAGAUUAGCAGCCAGAUGUUCACAGCAAUAUUCUGUUUUAGGUAGUUGAGCUUUUCCAAAGAAGUAACAACUGUUGGAGUGAAGCUGAAAUAAAUGAGCUGGAAAAACCAUUGGGUCUGAUUUGGAUUUUAAAAUGUUUUCAAUUUCCAUGUGGAAGAGAGUGAAGUCAUUCUUGACUUCAUACCAUUGGAAGCAGGGAGAAUAGUUAGAAAACUUAUGAAGGAAGAGCUUGGGUUAUGAUUUUGUUGGUAACAGUGGGGAAGGUAGUUAUUAGCAUAAACUAGGCAUGCUGAAGAGGCAGAGGCAUAUGGAUCUCUAUGCUCAAGGUCAGCCAUGGAGGUCUGCAUGGUGAGACCCUGUGUCUCACCAAACAAAACAAAAUGUCCAAAACAAAGCAACAAGGGAACAGAAUGAAGAGGCAAACCAUGAACAAGAAUCUCAGAUAGAGUGGGCUUGGGAAUCUUACACAUUCACUUGCUGUAUUUUAAUGUUGUCUACUGAUUACUUGGAGUAGAGAUUAAAGACUAACCAGGUGCUUUCUUAAUCAUUUUGUUUAAAGUACAGAAUGUAUAGAAUUUUUGACUCCAAGAAUUUUAAUUUAUCAAAACUCAUUUUCCUAUGAAAUGAUAAUGAUUAUAUUUUAUACUUAUUUUAGAAUUUUUAUAAAAUGUGUAUGUGUGUGUGUCUGUGUGUUUAUGUCUGUGUGAUGUAGAUAUAUCUGUGUGAUGUUUAUAUCUGUGUGCACAGAUGAGAGUGCCGUGCAUACAGGUAAGAGCAGGCUACCAGGUGCUGUCUUAGUUAGGAUUUUACUUCUGUGAACAGACACUAUGACCAGGGUAACUCUUAUAAGGACAACUUUUAAUUGGGGCUGGUUUUUAAGUUCAUAGGUUCAGUCCAUUAUCAUCAAGGUGGGAACAUGGCAGUGUCCAGGCAGACAUGGUGCAGGAAUUGCUGAGAGUUCUACAUUUUUUAUCUGAAGGCUGCUAUGAAAAGACUGACUUCUAGGUAGCUAGGAUUGAGGGUAUUAAAGCCCACUCCCACAGUGACACACCUUCUCCAACAAGGUCACACCUCUUAAAUGUGCCACUCCCUGGGCCAAGCAUAUAUAAACCAUCACAGGUGUCAUGCUCAAAUCAUUUUCAACCUAAUUCUCUUGAGUCACAAUCUUUCACUGAAUCUGGAGUGUGCCAUCAUUUGGCUGGAGAGAUGGCUAAGGGGUUAAGAGCACUAACUGCUCUUCCAGAGGUCCUGAGUUUAAUUCCCAGCAACCAUCUGUUGGCUCACAACCAUCUGUAACCCGAUGCCCUCUUCUGGUGUGUCUGAAGAUAGCAACAGUGUACUCAUAUACAUAAAAUAGAACAUCUUCAGAUUAUAGAAAGCUAACUUCAUUGGUAAGUUCCACGUGUUUGAAGAAUAAAAGAACAGAUCAGUCUUAGUCGGUGAUCUAUUGCUGUGAGGAAACACUGACCAUGGCAACUCUUAGAAAGGAAAGCAUUUAAUUGAAGGCUUGCUUACAGAUUCAGAGAUUCAGUCUGUUGUCAUCAUGGCAGGUAGCAUGACAGCAGGCACAUUCUGGCAAACAUGGUGCUUGAGAAGUAACUGAGAGCUACAUUUAAAAACAAAACAAAAAACCUUUUCUUGAUUCUUUGUGAAUUUUACAUCAUACACCAGAACCCCACUCAUCUCACCUUGCAACUCCUCCCCC
Molecule: long non-coding RNA, 3125 nt
Filed under: Mus musculus (house mouse)
Lineage: Eukaryota; Metazoa; Chordata; Mammalia; Rodentia; Muridae
Description: long non-coding RNA chr1:159268617-159271742
Source: RNAcentral